AGAAAAUAAAAUCUAUAUAUAGAACUUGCAAUAAGCAAAAAAGGGUAAGCACGCAAUUAACUAUAGAAAAUGGUUUUUUCUUCAUCAACAACCAAAUUCACCAUGGUUGCAGCUUUCGUUCUUCUUCUGGUUGCUGUUGUUGCUGGCUCUGAUGACAUGGGUUCCAUGCCAGGGAUGGGUCCCAUGCCAGGGAUGAGUCCUGGACCAUCAACCUCAGGUUCUUCAAGAAACCUCGUCGGUGCAGUGAUCACUGUUCUUGUUCCUGUUGUUCUUAUUUUUCUUGUUACCAAAGACAGGAUUAUUUAAAUUCAUCAUUAAUUGUUACUGUGACUACCUUCUAGCUAAGGUUAUUGCCUCUUAAAUGUUAUUCUGAUUUUCUGUGUGUUCUUUUUACAUGUUGUAUGUGUUAGUGAGAGGAUUCUAAUUAACCCUCUUUCGUGUUAUAUGUUAUGUCUUCAAAUAUAUAUAUCAAUAAAGAUUAUUUGUGUACGGUGUACCUUGACAUGAACUACAACAUCCUCGUUCCGUAAAUGCUAUGUUGCCUAUGCUUAAU
This 553-nucleotide long non-coding RNA is filed under the name Arachis ipaensis. RNAcentral describes it as "long non-coding RNA (AIPA_LNC001194)". The record is from RNAcentral. Lineage: Eukaryota; Viridiplantae; Streptophyta; Magnoliopsida; Fabales; Fabaceae.